GACGGGGGGGGCAAGUGUUCUUCGGAAUGACUGGGCGUAAAGGGCACGUAGGCGGUGAAUCGGGUUGAUCGUGAAAGUCGCCAAAAAGUGGCGGAAUGCUCUCGAAACCAAUUCACUUGAGUGAGACAGAGGAGAGUGGAAUUUCGUGUGUAGGGGUGAAAUCCGUAAAUAUACGAAGGAACGCCAAAAGCGAAGGCAGCUCUCUGGGUCCCUACAGACGCUGGGGUGCGAAAGCAUGGGGAGCGAACAGG
This 251-nucleotide ribosomal RNA is filed under the name uncultured bacterium. RNAcentral describes it as "partial 16S ribosomal RNA". It matches the Rfam family "Bacterial small subunit ribosomal RNA", at positions 524 to 776 of the family's 1533-position model. The record is from RNAcentral.